AGCAUGUGAUAGCAAGGGCUGGGCAAGACCGGUGCCAGCCGCCGCGGUAACACCGGCAGCCCGAGUGGUGAUCACUAUUAUUGGGUCUAAAGGGUCCGUAGCCGGUUUAAUCAGUCUUCUGGGAAAUCUAAUCGCUUAACUAUUAGGCUUCCAGGGGAUACUGUUAGACUUGGGACCGGGAGAGGUAAGAGGUACUGCAGGGGUAGGAGUGAAAUCUUGUAAUCCCUGUGAGACCACCAGUGGCGAAGGCGUCUUACCAGAACGGGUCCGACGGUGAGGGACGAAAGCUGGGGGCACGAACCGGAUUAGAUACCCGGGUAGUCCCAGCUGUAAACGAUGCUCGUUAGGUGUCAGGAACGGUGCGACUGUUUCUGGUGCCGAAGGGAAGCCGUGAAACGAGCCACCUGGGAAGUACGGCCGCAAGGCUGAAACUUAAAGGAAUUGGCGGGGGAGCACUACAACGGGUGGAGCCUGCGGUUUAAUUGGACUCAACGCCGGAAAACUCACCGGGGGCGACAGCAAUAUGUAGGUCAGGUUAAAGGUCUUACCUGAAUCGCUGAGAGGAGGUGCAUGGCCGUCGUCAGUUCGUACUGUGAAGCAUCCUGUUAAGUCAGGCAACGAGCAAGACCCGUGCCCACUGUUACCAGCAUAUCCUUUAUGGAUGAUGGGGACUCUGUGGGGACCGCUGCUGCUAAAGCAGAGGAAGGUGCGGGCUACGGUAGGUCAGUAUGCCCCGAAUCUCCCGGGCUACACGCGGGCUACAAUGGUUGGGACAAUGGGUAUCUACUCCGAAAGGAGUUGGCAAUCUCUUAAACCCAAUCGUAGUUCGAAUUGAGGGCUGUAACUCGCCCUCAUGAAGCUGGAAUCCGUAGUAAUCGCGUUUCAACAUAGCGCGGU
Molecule: ribosomal RNA, 897 nt
Filed under: uncultured archaeon
Lineage: Archaea
Description: bacterial SSU rRNA
Rfam family: Archaeal small subunit ribosomal RNA
Source: RNAcentral